UCUCCGUAGGUGAACCUGCGGAGGGAUCAUUACAAGAGUGAGGGCCCUCGCGGCCCGAAUCUCCAACCCCAUGUUGUCCGACUCUGUUGCCUCGGGGGCGACCCGGCCCUUCUGGGCGACGGGGCCCCCGGAGCCCAUCAAACCCUGCGUAACUAAGUCGUCGGAGUUUAAACAAAUUAAACAAAACUUUCAACAACGGAUCUCUUGGUUCGGGCAUCGAUGAAGAACGCAGC
Molecule: unclassified non-coding RNA, 233 nt
Filed under: uncultured fungus
Lineage: Eukaryota; Fungi
Description: sequence contains ITS1, 5.8S rRNA gene
Rfam family: 5.8S ribosomal RNA (bases 185-233)
Source: RNAcentral